RNAcentral lists this unclassified non-coding RNA (387 nucleotides) under Hevea brasiliensis (rubber tree). Lineage: Eukaryota; Viridiplantae; Streptophyta; Magnoliopsida; Malpighiales; Euphorbiaceae. The record is from RNAcentral.
GGCUAAUAAUGUUUCUAGGGUUUUCUACUAUUCCUGCCUUGGACGAGCCAACCACAGAGAGCUCAGAGCUCGGAGACGAUAGAAGUACUCGGCGAUCGCCAGGAAACACCUCGCUGCUUGCGGAUGCAGCCGAUGAAGGGUUUGGUGCCUCAGAUUAUCUGCCUGUCUAACAAAACCUUCAAGUGUAGAUAGCUUGUUCAUGGCUACAGCCAUUUGGCCCAUGUAGUUAGCCAUAUUGGGAGGACAGCUCAAUGAAUCAGAAGCUAUAGUAUCUGAUAGAGAUUGAUUUAGAGAUUCAAGCCCUUGUGACAGAGCUUCUUCAGCCUCCUGCGUCGAUUGCUGCAAUCCAUAUAUCCCUAAGAUUUGCUGCUCUGUUAAGGGCUCGAU